RNAcentral lists this ribosomal RNA (253 nucleotides) under uncultured bacterium. RNAcentral describes it as "partial 16S ribosomal RNA". It matches the Rfam family "Bacterial small subunit ribosomal RNA", at positions 524 to 776 of the family's 1533-position model. The record is from RNAcentral.
UACGUAGGGUGCGAGCGUUAAUCGGAAUUACUGGGCGUAAAGCGUGCGCAGGCGGUUUUGUAAGCCAGAUGUGAAAUCCCCGGGCUUAACCUGGGAAUGGCAUUUGGGACUGCGAGGCUGGAGUGCGGCAGAGGAGACUGGAAUUCCUGGUGUAGCAGUGAAAUGCGUAGAUAUCAGGAGGAAUACCGAUGGCGAAGGCAGGUCUCUGGGCUGACACUGACGCUCAUGCACGAAAGCGUGGGGAGCAAACAGG